AGCUCCAAUAGCGUAUAUUAAAGUUGUUGCAGUUAAAAAGCUCGUAGUUGGAUCUCGGGUGCAGGCUAGCGGUUCCACUCUCGUGGACACUGCUCGUCCUGACCUCCGCUGGUCGGUCUCCUCUUGGUGCCCUUGACUGGGUGUCUCGAGUGGCCGGAACGUUUACUUUGAAAAAAUUAGAGUGUUCAAAGCAGGCAUCGCGCCUGAAUAAUGUUGCAUGGAAUAAUGGAAUAGGACCUCGGUUCUAUUUUGUUGGUUUUCGGAAGUCGAGGUAAUGAUUAAGAGGGACAGACGGGGGCAUUCGUAUUACGGUGUUAGAGGUGAAAUUCUUGGAUCGCCGUAAGACGAACUACUGCGAAAGCAUUUGCCAAGAAUGUUUUCA
RNAcentral lists this ribosomal RNA (382 nucleotides) under marine Metazoa environmental sample. RNAcentral's name for it is "SSU rRNA". It matches the Rfam family "Eukaryotic small subunit ribosomal RNA", at positions 587 to 972 of the family's 1831-position model. Lineage: Eukaryota; Metazoa. The record is from RNAcentral.